Molecule: unclassified non-coding RNA, 508 nt
Filed under: Caenorhabditis elegans
Lineage: Eukaryota; Metazoa; Nematoda; Chromadorea; Rhabditida; Rhabditidae
Description: Non-coding transcript of protein-coding gene C25A1.16b
Source: RNAcentral
AUGUUCUUGAGAUACUUCUUGGACGAGAACCAACAAAGAGUGUACACUUUGAAGAGAACUGCUCCAUCUGGAGAGCAAACUCUUACCGCUCAUCCAGCUCGCUUUUCGCCGGAAGACAAGAACUCCAAAUAUCGCAUCAUCAUCAAGAAGCGCUUCGGACUCUUGCCAACCCAGAAGGCAAAGACCGUUUGCUAAAAUGCUGGUUUGGGAGUGGCGCCGCAUGUUGCGGCAAAAAAUCCGCUCUUUCACCCCCAAUAAACCUAUCAAUUAUCAACAGGUGUCUCGUCGUCGUAUCAUCGUCUCUUUUGUUCUUUUCUUCGUUGGAUGGAAAGCUUUUGGUUAUACUCUCAACGAUAUGUUCCUUUGGACUGUCGAUGAGCAAACUAUGCAAGGUCGCUUUUUAACUCCACAAGAAGGCAAAGAUCGAAGAGAGGCCCUAGAACGACAACGAGAUCCCAAGUUACGCAUCAAACCCCCAAUUGUUUCGAAAUACGAUCUUGACGACUAG